This is a long non-coding RNA of Megalobrama amblycephala (Wuchang bream), 650 nucleotides long. RefSeq lists it as uncharacterized. The record is from RefSeq and is a predicted model, not a curated record. The transcript has 3 exons. NCBI's taxonomy places the organism in Eukaryota, Metazoa, Chordata, Actinopteri, Cypriniformes, Xenocyprididae.
CAUUAACACCAUUAGCUCCCCAAAGAAGUUCGCUGACGUGUGUAAACAGUGUGUAGGAGUUGUGAAGCAAUGCAUUUCGUAAUUGCUGAUCUUUACUCCAUUUACCAGUGGAGCGGCUCACUGCCAUGUGAAUGGCAACAUCGCUGUUGCCAUAGCAGCACAUGCUUCGCCAAGAUCACGUUCGAGGAAGAAGGAAGGGAAGAAACUGUACUGAAGGAAGAUAAAAGAGGAAGGCGAGUGAUCAUGUGCACAUGACUGAACGUCAGAACAGAGGGCGUGCUGUGUGACGAGGUUCAAAUCUGAAGGGAGCUCUAAAGUUACACAUCAGAAUAGAACUUGAUCCAUGGUCUCACUGAGCCAUCGGAUUUUACCAAAAAUACCUUAAUUUGUGAUGAACGGAAGGUCUUACGGGUGUGGAACGACAUGAGGAGCUCGUCCGCGUCACAUCAUGUGGCACAUCGACACGCCUUUUCCAGCGCAGCCAUAGAAACCACACAAAUCUGAGCCGUUUGCCUUCCUCAUUUGCAUGAAACAGCUGAGAAACAACAUCUGUGGGAUGUGGAAGCGACAGCCAGACACUGUUCAACUAAAAUCAGCUUACAUGUAACUAACUAGGUAAGCAAACAUGUGACAUCACAGGUGUCUCACCU